ACGAACGCUGGCGGCGUGCUUAACACAUGCAAGUCGAACGCUGAAGCUCAGCUUUUGUUGGGUGGAUGAGUGGCGAACGGGUGAGUAACACGUGAGUAACCUGCCUCCUUCUUUGGGAUAACGCCCGGAAACGGGUGCUAAUACUGGAUAUUCACUGGUCUUCGCAUGGGGGUUGGUGGAAAGGGUUUUUCUGGUGGGGGAUGGGCUCGCGGCCUAUCAGCUUGUUGGUGGGGUGAUGGCCUACCAAGGCUUUGACGGGUAGCCGGCCUGAGAGGGUGACCGGUCACAUUGGGACUGAGAUACGGCCCAGACUCCUACGGGAGGCAGCAGUGGGGAAUAUUGCACAAUGGGCGCAAGCCUGAUGCAGCGACGCCGCGUGAGGGAUGGAGGCCUUCGGGUUGUGAACCUCUUUCGCUCAUGGUCAAGCCGCAACAAUGGUUGUGGUGAGGGUAGUGGGUAAAGAAGCGCCGGCUAACUACGUG
RNAcentral lists this ribosomal RNA (482 nucleotides) under uncultured bacterium. Its description in RNAcentral is "partial 16S ribosomal RNA". It matches the Rfam family "Bacterial small subunit ribosomal RNA", at positions 29 to 507 of the family's 1533-position model. The record is from RNAcentral.